GUGCCUAUACAUGCAAGUCGUACGCACUGGCCCAACUGAUUGAUGGUGCUUGCACCUGAUUGACGAUGGAUCACCAGUGAGUGGCGGACGGGUGAGUAACACGUAGGUAACCUGCCCCGGAGCGGGGGAUAACAUUUGGAAACAGAUGCUAAUACCGCAUAACAACAAAAGCCGCAUGGCUUUUGUUUGAAAGAUGGCUUUGGCUAUCACUCUGGGAUGGACCUGCGGUGCAUUAGCUAGUUGGUAAGGUAACGGCUUACCAAGGCGAUGAUGCAUAGCCGAGUUGAGAGACUGAUCGGCCACAAUGGAACUGAGACACGGUCCAUACUCCUACGGGAGGCAGCAGUAGGGAAUCUUCCACAAUGGGCGCAAGCCUGAUGGAGCAACACCGCGUGAGUGAAGAAGGGUUUCGGCUCGUAAAGCUCUGUUGUUGGAGAAGAACGUGCGUGAGAGUAACUGUUCACGCAGUGACGGUAUCCAACCAGAAAGUCACGGCUAACUACGUGCCAGCAGCCGCGGUAAUACGUAGGUGGCAAGCGUUAUCCGGAUUUAUUGGGCGUAAAGCGAGCGCAGGCGGUUGCUUAGGUCUGAUGUGAAAGCCUUCGGCUUAACCGAAGAAGUGCAUCGGAAACCGGGCGACUUGAGUGCAGAAGAGGACAGUGGAACUCCAUGUGUAGCGGUGGAAUGCGUAGAUAUAUGGAAGAACACCAGUGGCGAAGGCGGCUGUCUGGUCUGCAACUGACGCUGAGGCUCGAAAGCAUGGGUAGCGAACAGGAUUAGAUACCCUGGUAGUCCAUGCCGUAAACGAUGAGUGCUAGGUGUUGGAGGGUUUCCGCCCUUCAGUGCCGGAGCUAACGCAUUAAGCACUCCGCCUGGGGAGUACGACCGCAAGGUUGAAACUCAAAGGAAUUGACGGGGGCCCGCACAAGCGGUGGAGCAUGUGGUUUAAUUCGAAGCUACGCGAAGAACCUUACCAGGUCUUGACAUCUUGCGCUAACCUUAGAGAUAAGGCGUUCCCUUCGGGGACGCAAUGACAGGUGGUGCAUGGUCGUCGUCAGCUCGUGUCGUGAGAUGUUGGGUUAAGUCCCGCAACGAGCGCAACCCUUGUUACUAGUUGCCAGCAUUGAGUUGGGCACUCUAGUGAGACUGCCGGUGACAAACCGGAGGAAGGUGGGGACGACGUCAGAUCAUCAUGCCCCUUAUGACCUGGGCUACACACGUGCUACAAUGGACGGUACAACGAGUCGCAAACUCGCGAGAGUAAGCUAAUCUCUUAAAGCCGUUCUCAGUUCGGACUGUAGGCUGCAACUCGCCUACACGAAGUCGGAAUCGCUAGUAAUCGCGGAUCAGCAUGCCGCGGUGAAUACGUUCCCGGGCCUUGUACACACCGCCCGUCACACCAUGGGAGUUUGUAACGCCCAAAGUCGGUGGCCUAACCUUUAUGGAGGGAGCCGCCUAAAGGC
RNAcentral lists this ribosomal RNA (1463 nucleotides) under Limosilactobacillus reuteri. Its description in RNAcentral is "bacterial SSU rRNA". It matches the Rfam family "Bacterial small subunit ribosomal RNA". The record is from RNAcentral. Lineage: Bacteria; Bacillati; Bacillota; Bacilli; Lactobacillales; Lactobacillaceae.